ACUCCUACGGGAGGCAGCAGUGGGGAAUAUUGCACAAUGGGCGCAAGCCUGAUGCAGCCAUGCCGCGUGUGUGAAGAAGGCCUUCGGGUUGUAAAGCACUUUCAGUCGUGAGGAAGGUAGUGUAGUUUAAUAGGCCUGCUAUAUUUUGAACGUUAGCGACAGAAGAAGCACCGGCUAACUCCGUGCCAGCAGCCGUGGUAAUACGGAGGGUGCGAGCGUUAAUCGGAAUUACUGGGCGUAAAGCGCAUGCAGGUGGUUUGUUAAGUCAGAUGUGAAAGCCCGGGCUCAAGCCUCAGG
This 297-nucleotide ribosomal RNA is filed under the name uncultured bacterium. RNAcentral's name for it is "partial 16S ribosomal RNA". It matches the Rfam family "Bacterial small subunit ribosomal RNA", at positions 335 to 619 of the family's 1533-position model. The record is from RNAcentral.